RNAcentral lists this ribosomal RNA (484 nucleotides) under uncultured bacterium. RNAcentral describes it as "partial 16S ribosomal RNA". It matches the Rfam family "Bacterial small subunit ribosomal RNA", at positions 30 to 507 of the family's 1533-position model. The record is from RNAcentral.
AUUGAACGCUGGCGGCAGGCCUAACACAUGCAAGUCGAGCGGAUGAAGGGAGCUUGCUCCUGGAUUCAGCGGCGGACGGGUGAGUAAUGCCUAGGAAUCUGCCUGGUAGUGGGGGAUAACGUCCGGAAACGGGCGCUAAUACCGCAUACGUCCUGAGGGAGAAAGUGGGGGAUCUUCGGACCUCACGCUAUCAGAUGAGCCUAGGUCGGAUUAGCUAGUUGGUGGGGUAAAGGCCUACCAAGGCGACGAUCCGUAACUUGUCUGAGAGGAUGAUCAGUCACACUGGAACUGAGACACGGUCCAGACUCCUACGGGAGGCAGCAGUGGGGAAUAUUGGACAAUGGGCGAAAGCCUGAUCCAGCCAUGCCGCGUGUGUGAAGAAGGUCUUCGGAUUGUAAAGCACUUUAAGUUGGGAGGAAGGGCAGUAAGUUAAUACCUUGCUGUUCUGACGUUACCAACAGAAUAAGCACCGGCUAACUUCGUG